UCCGGCUUCCCGCCGGCAGUCUCCCGAGAGUCCCCGCCUUUACGCGCUGGCAACACGGGACAAGGGUUGCGCUCGUUGCGGGACUUAACCCAACAUCUCACGACACGAGCUGACGACAGCCAUGCACCACCUGUGCAGGACCCUUUAAAGGACACCACAUCUCUGCGGUUUUUCCCUGCAUGUCAAACCCAGGUAAGGUUCUUCGCGUCGCCUCGAAUUAAGCAACAUGCUCCGCCGCUUGUGCGGGCCCCCGUCAAUUCAUUUGAGUUUUAACCUUGCGGCCGUACUCCCCAGGCGGUCUACUUAAUGCGUUAGCUGCGCCACAAGAGAUACAAGAUCCCCAACGGCUAGUAGACAGCGUUUACAGCGUGGACUAC
RNAcentral lists this unclassified non-coding RNA (377 nucleotides) under uncultured bacterium. Its description in RNAcentral is "contains 16S-23S intergenic spacer region". The record is from RNAcentral.